AUGGAGUACCAGGGACAUCAGCAGCACGGUCAGGCGACUAACCGCGUCGACGAGUACGGUAACCCGGUUGCCGGACAUGGCGUCGGCACAGGCGCGGCCGCUGGUGGGCAUUUCCAGCCCUCGGGGGAGGAGCACAAGGCCGGCGGGAUCCUGCAGCGCUCCGGCAGCUCUAGUAGCUCCAGCUCGUCUGAGGAUGAUGGCAUGGGCGGGAGGAGGAAGAAGGGCAUCAAGGAUAAGAUCAAGGAGAAGCUCCCUGGUGGCCACGGCGACCAGCAGCAGACCACUGACAACACCUACGGACAGCAAGGUCAUACGGCAGGGAUGGCCGGCACUGGCGGCACCUACGGCCAGCCGGGACACACCGGAAUGGCCGGCACUGGGACGCAUGGCACCGACGGCACCGGCGAGAAGAAGGGCGUCAUGGACAAGAUCAAGGAGAAGCUGCCCGGACAGCACUGA
This 459-nucleotide ribosomal RNA is filed under the name Triticum aestivum (bread wheat). RNAcentral's name for it is "partial small subunit ribosomal RNA". The record is from RNAcentral. Lineage: Eukaryota; Viridiplantae; Streptophyta; Magnoliopsida; Poales; Poaceae.